GACGAACGCUGGCGGCGUGCUUAACACAUGCAAGUCGAGCGGAAAGGCCACUUCGGUGGUACUCGAGCGGCGAACGGGUGAGUAACACGUGAGUAAUCUGCCCCUCACUUUGGGAUAGCCACCGGAAACGGUGAUUAAUACCGGAUAUGACCAUAUGUCGCAUGGCGUGUGGUGGAAAGUUUUUCGGUGAGGGAUGUGCUCGCGGCCUAUCAGCUUGAUGGUGAGGUAAUGGCUCACCAUGGCUUCGACGGGUAGCCGGCCUGGGAGGGUGACCGGUCACACUGGGACUGAGACACGGCCCAGACUCCUACGGGAGGCAGCAGUGGGGAAUAUUGGACAAUGGGCGGAAGCCUGAUCCAGCAACGCCGCGUGAGGGAUGACGGCCUUCGGGUUGUAAACCUCUUUCAGUACCGACGAAGCGCAAGUGACGGUAGGUACAGAAGAAGCACCGGCCAACUACGUG
Molecule: ribosomal RNA, 463 nt
Filed under: uncultured bacterium
Lineage: Bacteria
Description: partial 16S ribosomal RNA
Rfam family: Bacterial small subunit ribosomal RNA
Source: RNAcentral